UGAGGAAUAUUGGGCAAUGCCCGCAAGGGUGACCCAGCGACGCCGCGUGGAGGAUGAAUGUCGUAAGAUUGUAAACUCCUGUUAGAGGGGAAGAAUAGUACCGGUUGGACCGGUAUAUGGCUGUACCCUCAGAGAAAGCCCCGGCUAACUACGUGCCAGCAGCCGCGGUAAUACGUAGGGGGCAAGCGUUGUCCGGAUUUACUGGGUGUAAAGGGCGCGCAGGCGGGAUAAAAAGUCAGUGGUGAAAUCCUACAGCUUAACUGUAGAACUGCCUUUGAUACUUUUAUUCUUGAGUUCGGGAGAGAGAGACGGAAUUCCAGGUGUAGUGGUGAAAUACGUAGAUAUCUGGAAGAACACCAGUUGCGAAGGCGGUCUCUUGGUCCGACACUGGCGCUGAGGCGCGAAAGCGUGGGGAGCAAACA
This 422-nucleotide ribosomal RNA is filed under the name uncultured bacterium. RNAcentral describes it as "bacterial SSU rRNA". It matches the Rfam family "Bacterial small subunit ribosomal RNA", at positions 355 to 774 of the family's 1533-position model. The record is from RNAcentral.